This 300-nucleotide ribosomal RNA is filed under the name uncultured Pyrobaculum sp. Its description in RNAcentral is "bacterial SSU rRNA". The stretch from base 52 to 300 matches the Rfam family "Bacterial small subunit ribosomal RNA", at positions 547 to 795 of the family's 1533-position model. The record is from RNAcentral. Lineage: Archaea; Thermoproteati; Thermoproteota; Thermoprotei; Thermoproteales; Thermoproteaceae.
GUUAAGUCGGGGGCGGCGGCGGCGGGAAUGCAGGGGGUGGGAGGGUGGGUGGGAAGUACGGGGCGGAAGGGGGUCGUAGGCGGCCGGGGAAGUCGAAGGUGGAAUCCCCGGGGUGGGCCCGGGUAGUGCGUCCGAUACGGGUAGGCGUGAAUUCGGGAGAGGGAUGCGGAAGUGCAGGUGUGGCGGUGAAAUGCGUAGAUAUCUGGAGGAACACCGGUGGCGAAGGCGGCAUCCUGGACCGACAUUGACGCUGAGGCGCGAAAGCCAGGGGAGCAAACGGGAUUAGAUACCCCUGUAGUC